This 406-nucleotide ribosomal RNA is filed under the name uncultured bacterium. Its description in RNAcentral is "partial 16S ribosomal RNA". It matches the Rfam family "Bacterial small subunit ribosomal RNA", at positions 29 to 526 of the family's 1533-position model. The record is from RNAcentral.
AUUGAACGCUGGCGGCAGGCCUAACACAUGCAAGUCGAACGAGUGGCGGACGGGUGAGUAAUGUCGGGGAAACUGCCCGAUGGAGGGGGAUAACUACUGGAAACGGUAGCUAAUACCGCAUACCAUCGGAUGUGCCCAGAUGGGAUUAGCUGGUAGGGGGGGUAACGGCUCACCAAGGCGACGAUCACUAGCUGGUCUGAGAGGAUGACCAGCCCAACGGGAACUGAGACACGGUCCAGACUCCUACGGGAGGCAGCAGUGGGGAAUAUUGCACAAUGGGCGCAAGCCUGAUGCAGCCAUGCCGCGUGUAUGAAGAAGGCCUUCGGGUUGUAAAGUACUUUCCGCGAGGAGGCGUUACUCGCAGAAGAAGCACCGGCUAACUCCGUGCCAGCAGCCGCGGUAAUAC